Molecule: long non-coding RNA, 1274 nt
Filed under: Nicotiana tabacum (common tobacco)
Lineage: Eukaryota; Viridiplantae; Streptophyta; Magnoliopsida; Solanales; Solanaceae
Description: long non-coding RNA (NTAB_LNC005046)
Source: RNAcentral
UGUCUUUCUUUAGCAUGUGUUAAAACUGAUUUCCGAAGUGAGGAAAGAGCAGCCCCUUAAAUAGGCAAAUAAAAGUUACUUUUUGGACAGAUUUGGAUUCCAAAAAGUCUGUCCAAAAAGGACUGACUUUGUGUGCUAAACACUGUUCAAAAGCUGUCCAAAAUAUGAAAGGACGGCUUAAAAAUCUGGUAUAGCAGAAGCAAGGAGAAAAAAAUAUCAUUUCAGUCAUCCUCCUAGUAAAAAGUAUAAAAAGUAGGUUACUAGUACCUUAUUUUAUGAUAAAUUUAUCUAAACUUUAGAUUUUAACAACAUCAAUAACACCAUAUUGAUUUUGAACCAAACUAAACUCAAACAACUAAGAAUUGACAAAACAGAAACAAGAGUACAAAUGGAAUUAAAACUCAAACAUACUAGAUUAAAACAAAUUGAUUUGCGCAAACUAAACAUAGAACAACUGAAACCACGAAGUAUUACGCAAAACAGAAUUUGGAUGAGCAUCGCAUAAUUAUUAGACAACGAUCAACAACAAGCUCUUAUGCUAUGAACUAACAAGCGAUUCACAACUAAUAUUACCAUAGUUUAAUUAAUCUAUAAAUACUACUAACAAAAUUAGGAGUAAAGAUUUAUCCCUAAAACUAAAUCUGAAGCAUAAGCUGAAAAGUCAUAAACGGGAAAGGGGAGAUGGAUUUAAGAUUUACCGGAAACUCGAGGAACAAGGCGGCGGUGAUACAACGGCAGUGGUGGUGGUGAUUCGACCCGGGACAUGGUUUUAUUGUUGAUUGAUACCAAAAAUCCUAAAUUCGGUGAGCUGAAUUUCGAUGUUGGUAUAAUCGACAAUAAAAUCAUGUCUGAGUCGAUUGGAGGCAAGAACGGAAGGAUGUUGGAGGCGGCGACGGCAUUGGGCGGUCAUUAGUGACUUCGUCGGAAAAUAGUCGACGAAAUUCGGGGUCCUAACAAAUAGUAAAAGAGAGAGCUAAAGGUGUUCUAUCCAUCCAUCUAUGUAUUGUGGGGUGGUGGUGGACGGAACUUCACGAAUUUGAGAAGAAUGGUGGCAGCUACGGUUUCCUAUAUAUAAAAUUCGUGGAGUUUGAGGGUUUUUGAAGAAUUUGGUUUGAAGAUAUGGAAAGAGGAGGUGUUGGAGAUUACAUGGUGAAAUUUUGGGUGUGUUUGGAGGUUAGCCGCCACUAGUGACGAAUCCCGGCAAGCGUCGACGCCAUGGAGGGAGUGGCGGCGACAGAGAUGAAGGAGAGAGAAGAGAUAGAGAGAUGGGGAGG